This is a long non-coding RNA of Ruditapes philippinarum (Manila clam), 920 nucleotides long. RefSeq lists it as uncharacterized. The transcript is spliced from 2 exons. The record is from RefSeq and is a predicted model, not a curated record. NCBI's taxonomy places the organism in Eukaryota, Metazoa, Mollusca, Bivalvia, Venerida, Veneridae.
UUUUAGCUCACCUGUCACAAAGUGACAGGGUGAGCUUUUGUGAUCGCUUUUCGUCCGGCGUCCGUCCGUCCGUCGUCCGUCGUCCGUCCGUAAACUUUUGCUUUAAAUGACAUCUCCUCAUAAACCACUGAGCCAAUUUCAUCCAAACUUCACAGGAAUGUUCCCUUGGUGGUCACCUUUAAAAAUUGUUCAAAGAAUUUAAUUCCAUGCAGAACUCUGGUUGCCAUGGCAACCGAAAGAAAAAUCUUUAAAUAUCUUCUUUUAAACAACCCUAAGAGCUAGAGCUUAGAUAUUUGGCAUGAAACAUCUUCUAAUGAGUGUCUACCAAGUUUGUUCAAAUAAAAGCCCUGGGGUCAAAAUUGGCCCCGCCCCAGGGGGUCAUUGAUUUUCCCUAUAUACAUAUAGUAAAAACUUAAAAAAUCUUCUUUUAAAGAACUGUAAGAGCUAGAGCUAAGAUAUUUGGCAUGAAACAUCUUCUAGUGAAUGUCUACCAAGUUUGUUCAAAUAAAAGCCCUGGGGUCAAAAUUGGCCCCGCCCCAGGGGGUCAUUGAUUUUCCCUAUAUGCAUAUAGUAAAAAACUUAAAAAAUCUUCUUUUAAAGAACUGUAAGAGCUAGAGCUUAGAUAUUUGGCAUGAAACAUCUUCUAGUGAAUGUCUACCAAUUUGUUCAAAUAAAAGCCCUGGGGUCAAAAUUGGCCCCGCCCCAGGGGGUCAUUGAUUUUCCUUAUAUGCAUAUAGUAAAAACUUAAAAAAUCUUCUUUUAAAGAACCCAAAGAGCUAGAGCUAAGAUAUUUAGCAUGAGACAUGUUCUAAUGGGUGUCUACCAAGUAUGUUCAAAUAAAAGCCCUGGGGUCAAAACUGGCCCCGCCCCGGGGGUCAUUGAUUUUCCUUAUAUACAUAGCAAAAACUUGAAAAUCUUCU